GUCUACAGCCUUCCACCACUGAAUGCGCCUGAUCUAGGCUGAUCUCAGAAGCUAAGCAGCCUCUGUCCUGGUUUGUACUUGGAUGGCAAUGAAGGAUCAUGAGGUAACAAAUGAUU
This is a ribosomal RNA of Cavia aperea (Brazilian guinea pig), 116 nucleotides long. NCBI's taxonomy places the organism in Eukaryota, Metazoa, Chordata, Mammalia, Rodentia, Caviidae. The record is from Ensembl.